Non-coding RNA from Ictalurus punctatus (channel catfish), 966 nucleotides. NCBI's taxonomy places the organism in Eukaryota, Metazoa, Chordata, Actinopteri, Siluriformes, Ictaluridae. The record is from the annotation of a RefSeq genome assembly.
CCUGGUUUUCUACUGAACUCACAAGUUCAUUUCCUCACUAUCACUUUGUCUAAACAGGAACGAUGAUCACACUCUUUGUCGCGCUUUACUCUCUUUUUUCUCUCUGCACAGCUGGAAAAACUUCUGACAUCAAGGAGCUUCAUGUGAAAACAGUAAAGCGUGGAGAAAAUGUAACUAUGGAGUGUAGCAUGAGCAAGGUCAAAAACAAUAAUAAUUUAGCUUGGUACAGACAGAGUUUUGGAAAAGUGCCUCAUUAUUUUGUAAGACGUUACGGGCAAAGUUACACAUUUGCAGAGGGAUUUAAAGAUAGCCGCUUCAGUAUGACUGUAAAUGACCAGAAGUUUGAUCUCAACAUUAUCGGAACGAGAGAAGAUGAUGGAGGAGAAUAUUUCUGUGGAGAAGUGGAGGGAAUUAUAAUAAAGUUCACAUCUGGAACACGUCUGCAAUUUGAAGGUGAAGAGAUGAAACACUGUCCUACACCUGGAACGGUUAACAACAACACAGAUUCUGUUACACGGUCCAAUGAGGGUUCAAAGAGCAGUGAUGGAGAAGGUUCCAGUUGUACUGAUCAGAUGCAUGUGCUGGUCUGGCUCUCCAUUUUUAGAGUUGGAGUUCUUGCCUUCAUGCUUAUUUUUACAAUAAUUAUUUUUAAAUGAAGAUCAAAUUAAAAAUUCAAGGCUCAGGUAAAAAAUACUGACAAUUUUGUUAAUUGCUUUGAUUUUCUACCUAGAUUUAUUUUAUUUAGUUCAAAACUGAAGAAAUAUAAUGAAUAUUAAAUGUCUUACUCCUUUUGUUUUACCAGAUUUUUGUAUAUUGUACAUCUUGGUCUGUGAUUUUGUUUAAGUUUUGUGGAAUAAACACAGAGCAUUUUUCCUUUAAUAAAUUUGUGAUAAGAAAAAAGUCUCAGACAUUUCAUUCCCAUGUAGAGCUGCAGUGAAUGAAUGGAGUGAAUGAAUACAAAUGGAA